UAGGGAAUAUUGCACAAUGGGGGAAACCCUGAUGCAGCAACGCCACGUGUGGGAAGAAGCAUUUCGGUGUGUAAACCACUGUCGAUAGGGAAUAAACGCCGUUUACGGACGGCCUGAAUGUACCUGUAAAGGAAGCACCGGCAAACUUCGUGCCAGCAGCCGCGGUAAUACGAGGGGUGCAAGCGUUGUUCGGAAUCACUGGGCGUAAAGGGAGCGUAGGCGGAACUCCAAGUCAGUCGUACAAUGCCGGGGCCCAACCCCGGAUCUGCGGCCGAUACUGGUUUUCUUGAGUUGUUUAGAGGCAGGCGGAAUUCCAGGUGUAGCGGUGGAAUGCGUAGAGAUCUGGAAGAACACCAAUGGCGAAGGCAGCCUGCUGGGAACAAACUGACGCUGAGGCUCGAAAGUGUGGGUAGCAAACA
RNAcentral lists this ribosomal RNA (419 nucleotides) under uncultured Fibrobacter sp. RNAcentral describes it as "partial 16S ribosomal RNA". It matches the Rfam family "Bacterial small subunit ribosomal RNA", at positions 355 to 774 of the family's 1533-position model. The record is from RNAcentral. Lineage: Bacteria; Pseudomonadati; Fibrobacterota; Fibrobacteria; Fibrobacterales; Fibrobacteraceae.